RNAcentral lists this ribosomal RNA (504 nucleotides) under uncultured bacterium. RNAcentral describes it as "partial 16S ribosomal RNA". It matches the Rfam family "Bacterial small subunit ribosomal RNA", at positions 30 to 523 of the family's 1533-position model. The record is from RNAcentral.
AUUGAACGCUGGCGGCAUGCCUUACACAUGCAAGUCGAACGGCAGCAUGGAGAGCUUGCUCUCUGAUGGCGAGUGGCGAACGGGUGAGUAAUGCAUCGGAACGUACCGUGUAAUGGGGGAUAACGUAGCGAAAGUUACGCUAAUACCGCAUACGACCUGAGGGUGAAAGCAGGGGAUCGCAAGACCUUGCGUUAUACGAGCGGCCGAUGUCAGAUUAGCUAGUUGGUGAGGUAAAGGCUCACCAAGGCGACGAUCUGUAGCGGGUCUGAGAGGAUGAGCCGCCACACUGGGACCGAGACACGGCCCAGACUCCUACGGGAGGCAGCAGUGGGGAAUUUUGGACAAUGGGGGCAACCCUGAUCCAGCCAUGCCGCGUGAGUGAAGAAGGCCUUCGGGUUGUAAGGCUCUUUCGGCCGGGAAGAAAUCGCACAGGCUAAUACUCUGUGUGGAUGACGGUACCGGCAUAAGAAGCACCGGCUAACUACGUGCCAGCAGCCGCAGUAA